RNAcentral lists this transfer RNA (72 nucleotides) under Camelus bactrianus (Bactrian camel). It matches the Rfam family "tRNA". Rfam says of the family: Transfer RNA (tRNA) molecules are approximately 80 nucleotides in length. Their secondary structure includes four short double-helical elements and three loops (D, anti-codon, and T loops). Further hydrogen bonds mediate the characteristic L-shaped molecular structure. tRNAs have two regions of fundamental functional importance: the anti-codon, which is responsible for specific mRNA codon recognition, and the 3' end, to which the tRNAs corresponding amino acid is attached (by aminoacyl-tRNA synthetases). tRNAs cope with the degeneracy of the genetic code in two manners: having more than one tRNA (with a specific anti-codon) for a particular amino acid; and 'wobble' base-pairing, i.e. permitting non-standard base-pairing at the 3rd anti-codon position. The record is from Rfam by way of RNAcentral. RNAcentral also lists the same sequence under 2 other names. Lineage: Eukaryota; Metazoa; Chordata; Mammalia; Artiodactyla; Camelidae.
CAAGGUAUAGUUCAGUGGUAGAGUGUGUGCUUAGCAUGCACGAGGUCCUGGGUUCAAUCUCCAGUACCUCCG